GGUUAAGCGACUAAGCGUACACGGUGGAUGCCCUGGCAGUCAGAGGCGAUGAAGGGCGUGCUAAUCUGCGAUAAGCGCCGGUAAGGUGAUAUGAACCGUUAUAACCGGCGAUACCCGAAUGGGGAAACCCAGUGUGAUUCGUCACACUAUCAUUAACUGAAUCCAUAGGUUAAUGAGGCGAACCGGGGGAACUGAAACAUCUAAGUACCCCGAGGAAAAGAAAUCAACCGAGAUUCCCCCAGUAGCGGCGAGCGAACGGGGAGGAGCCCAGAGCCUGAAUCAGCAUGUGUGUUAGUGGAAGCGUCUGGAAAGGCGCGCGAUACAGGGUGACAGCCCCGUACACAAAAGCGCAUGUGCUGUGAGCUCGAUGAGUAGGGCGGGACACGUGGUAUCCUGUCUGAAUAUGGGGGGACCAUCCUCCAAGGCUAAAUACUCCUGACUGACCGAUAGUGAACCAGUACCGUGAGGGAAAGGCGAAAAGAACCCCGGCGAGGGGAGUGAAAAAGAACCUGAAACCGUGUACGUACAAGCAGUGGGAGCACAGGUUUACCUGUGUGACUGCGUACCUUUUGUAUAAUGGGUCAGCGACUUAUAUUCUGUAGCAAGGUUAACCGAAUAGGGGAGCCGGAGGGAAACCGAGUCUUAAUUGGGCGUUAAGUUGCAGGGUAUAGACCCGAAACCCGGUGAUCUAGCCAUGGGCAGGUUGAAGGUUGGGUAACACUAACUGGAGGACCGAACCGACUAAUGUUGAAAAAUUAGCGGAUGACCUGUGGCUGGGGGUGAAAGGCCAAUCAAACCGGGAGAUAGCUGGUUCUCCCCGAAAGCUAUUUAGGUAGCGCCUCGUGAAUUCAUCUCCGGGGGUAGAGCACUGUUUCGGCUAGGGGGCCAUCCCGGCUUACCAACCCGAUGCAAACUGCGAAUACCGGAGAAUGUUAUCACGGGAGACACACGGCGGGUGCUAACGUCCGUCGUGAAGAGGGAAACAACCCAGACCGCCAGCUAAGGUCCCAAAGUCAUGGUUAAGUGGGAAACGAUGUGGGAAGGCCCAGACAGCCAGGAUGUUGGCUUAGAAGCAGCCAUCAUUUAAAGAAAGCGUAAUAGCUCACUGGUCGAGUCGGCCUGCGCGGAAGAUGUAACGGGGCUAAACCAUGCACCGAAGCUGCGGCAGCGACGCUUAUGCGU
Molecule: ribosomal RNA, 1182 nt
Filed under: Salmonella enterica
Lineage: Bacteria; Pseudomonadati; Pseudomonadota; Gammaproteobacteria; Enterobacterales; Enterobacteriaceae
Description: partial 23S ribosomal RNA
Rfam family: Bacterial large subunit ribosomal RNA
Source: RNAcentral